GUGCUAAGCCAGGCAUGGAGCAUCCAUAUCACCCUUUCCUCCCCAGGCCUGAGGGACCAUAUCUUGGAAGCGGGGAAGGGUGGUGAGGAUAGGAAGAGUGUAAGAGUCAGAGGGUGGGGAUGAGCAGCGUGAAGCCGUGCUUGCUGGUUGUUCAUUCCAAACAGUUCACGUCGGAACUGUUCGUUCAGGAACACACAGCUGUCUGCACAGAACCUGUACGUGAGCUUCCACCCCGAGCUAAGGAGUUGCUGCGACGUGUGGGAAUUUUGGAGGACAGCUGAUUUUUGUUUUGUAAAGGGUGUGGUCUCUGAAACUCAUUGCGGGGUGUGCUGAUUAGGUUUGCACUGCUGUGACAAAGCUCCAGGGUCAAGAUCAACGUGGGAGAAGAGGGUCUAACUCAUCUCACAACUCUCAAACCACACUCCAUCACCGAGGAACCUCAGGACAGGAACCCAACCACACUCCAUCACCGAGGAACCUCAGGACAGGAACCCAACCACACUCCAUCACCGAGGAACCUCAGGACAGGAACCCAACCACACUCCAUCACCGAGGAACCUCAGGACAGGAACCCAACCACACUCCAUCACCGAGGAACCUCAGGACAGGAACCCAACCACACUCCAUCACCGAGGAACCUCAGGACAGGAACCCAACCACACUCCAUCACCGAGGAACCUCAGGACAGGAACCCAACCACACUCCAUCACCGAGGAACCUCAGGACAGGAACCCAACCACACUCCAUCACCGAGGAACCUCAGGACAGGAACCCAACCACACUCCAUCACCGAGGAACCUCAGGACAGGAACCCAACCACACUCCAUCACCGAGGAACCUCAGGACAGGAACCCAACCACACUCCAUCACCGAGGAACCUCAGGACAGGAACCCAACCACACUCCAUCACCGAGGAACCUCAGGACAGGAACCCAACCACACUCCAUCACCGAGGAACCUCAGGACAGGAACCCAACCACACUCCAUCACCGAGGAACCUCAGGACAGGAACCCAACCACACUCCAUCACCGAGGAACCUCAGGACAGGAACCCAACCACACUCCAUCACCGAGGAACCUCAGGACAGGAACCCAACCACACUCCAUCACCGAGGAACCUCAGGACAG
This is a long non-coding RNA of Mus musculus (house mouse), 1128 nucleotides long. RefSeq annotates it as predicted gene, 52893. The transcript has 2 exons. The record is from RefSeq and is a predicted model, not a curated record. NCBI's taxonomy places the organism in Eukaryota, Metazoa, Chordata, Mammalia, Rodentia, Muridae.